GCUAAUUUGGAGGGAGCAUUUAUUUUUUGCACAACCACAACAUGCGCACAAAUCCAGAAAAAGAUGUGGAGUCUGAAAUUUUCAACAUCUCACCACCAGAGCAGUUGGUCACAACGUUUCAUACAAAGUUACAUAUACUGUAAUAGAUGUUGACAAAAUUUCUACAGAAUCAUCUUUAUAGACAACAAGAAAGCUCUAAGAGGCAAACAUUGCAAUCUAUUCUUCUUCUGAUGAGUCUCUCUCAAACGUGUAGGCCAUGAAGCAAGCAUCUGGUCUCUUGGGGACAAGGGGAUGCCCUGGUCUCACAAUCUCAAAGCCCAAAAAGCUGAAAGUACGGAGCAAUGCAGCUCUAUCAUCUCUGUUCUUGUGGAAACAAAUGAACACAUGAUCAACUUGAAGCUGUUCUUCAGCAAACUCCAGAAGAACUGCAAAACUGUCCUUGCUCCCUUCAGGCAGAGCACCACUGGGUAUUUCAAUAUAGAGGUUGUUGUUGUUCAGCACUGCUCUCCAACUAAUGUGUUUGGCAUCUGUAAGCCUUGACUGGACAUUCAGAAUUCUUGUCCUGUUAUUAGAUGUUAGUUCUUCUGUCACAUUCAGCCGAUUAUCCGAAUAAAAUAAAUUAGCUGAAAGAUUGUGAUCCCUCUGACUAUUCCCUCGCCCACCUGGGAUCUUCAGGGGUGGGUGAGGGACAUCAGGAGCACCACCGAGGCCCCGGACCCAGGUUACUACAGCAAUUGAAGGGAACCCUGGAACUGCUCUGUCCGGUACUGAGGCUCAGCACGGCGGGCAUGAUGGUGCUUUUAUUCCCCUCUUUCUCUCUAGCGAAGCAGUGACUGUUGAGUAUCCGCUGCAGGGAGGAUUUCACCAUCCGGCCGCUCUGGUCCGAACCCCGAAACCCUCCGCCGCCCCCCGCCGGCCGCUCUCCAGGCACUGCU
This 935-nucleotide long non-coding RNA is filed under the name Gallus gallus (chicken). Lineage: Eukaryota; Metazoa; Chordata; Aves; Galliformes; Phasianidae. The record is from RNAcentral.